This is a long non-coding RNA of Mirounga angustirostris (Northern elephant seal), 750 nucleotides long. RefSeq lists it as uncharacterized. The transcript is spliced from 4 exons. NCBI's taxonomy places the organism in Eukaryota, Metazoa, Chordata, Mammalia, Carnivora, Phocidae. The record is from RefSeq and is a predicted model, not a curated record.
GGGACAGAGAGAGGGAGGGACAGGCAGACACCAGCAACCACAGGGAGGACAGAGGGCCGUGGACAGAGGACAGCAGUCAAGCUGUGCCUAGAAGGCAGUCUCCAGCGGUGUGCCCCAGGGCUCUGUUCCCUGCCCAGGCCUCUCGGUUCACGGGGAAGAAAAACUACACACACCAAGAGCCCCGCUCCACAGAAGACAGGAGCCGGAGGGACGGCAGAAGACAGAAGCCGGAGGGAUGGCGAACACUGCCGGCCGCAGCUGAUCAGGGUCACCAGGAUGCUGGGAGGCUGGAGUCUGCAACUCGGAGCCUGUCAUCUCCGGGUCCCGACAGCUGAUUUGUGUGCCCGCAUCUGCAUUCUCUCUGAUGUGUGUCUCCCAAUCCCGACUUGUGUGUUUCUAUUUAUUUUUCUCACUUUACUGAAUGGCUUUUUGCUGUGAGCUCCUCCAAAUCCUCGGUGGAACAAAGCCGAGAGUAAAUAGGGCAGAGGAGUGGCUGGUUGAAAGUAACACAAGUUUCUUCAACUGAACAACGUGGAGGAGCAACAGACCUCACCUCCUCGGGAUGGCUCUGAGGCUUAAGUUCACAGAAAUCCCAGAAUUCAGCCUCAUGAGCUUGGAUUGGCUUCAUAUGCUCAUUUCUGAACCAAUCACUGUGGACGGGGCAUGCACCACUCUGAUUGGCCAGCCCUGAAGUUCUGUCCCCUCUUCCAUCUGGGGAUGGAGUGAUUUCUGCAGGACCCGCAGGGACUG